This 429-nucleotide ribosomal RNA is filed under the name Bacillota bacterium. RNAcentral describes it as "Firmicutes bacterium partial 16S ribosomal RNA". It matches the Rfam family "Bacterial small subunit ribosomal RNA", at positions 355 to 776 of the family's 1533-position model. Lineage: Bacteria; Bacillati; Bacillota. The record is from RNAcentral.
UAGGGAAUCUUCGGCAAUGGACGGAAGUCUGACCGAGCAACGCCGCGUGAGUGAAGAAGGUGUUCGGAUCGUAAAGCUCUGUUGUUAGAGAAGAACGUUGGUAGGAGUGGAAAAUCUACCAAGUGACGGUAACUAACCAGAAAGGGACGGCUAACUACGUGCCAGCAGCCGCGGUAAUACGUAGGUCCCGAGCGUUGUCCGGAUUUAUUGGGCGUAAAGCGAGCGCAGGCGGUUCUUUAAGUCUGAAGUUAAAGGCAGUGGCUUAACCAUUGUACGCUUUGACAACUGGAGGACUUUGGUGCAGAAGGGGAGAGUGGAAUUCCAUGUGUAGCGGUGAAAUGCGUAGAUAUAUGGAGGACCACCGGUGGCGAAAGCGGCUCUCUGGUCUGUAACCGACGCUGAGGCUCGAAAGCGUGGGGAGCAAACAGG